UACGUAGGGGGCCAGCGUUGUCCGGAUUUAUUGGGCGUAAAGAGCGUGUAGGCGGCCAGGUAGGUCUGGUGUGAAAACUCGAGGCUCAACCUCGAGAUGUCAUCGGAAACCAUCUGGCUAGAGUCCGGAAGAGGAGAGUGGAAUUCCUGGUGUAGCGGUAAAAUGCGCAGAUAUCAGGAAGAACACCUAUGGCGAAGGCGGUUCUCUGGGACGGUACUGACGCUGAGACGCGAAAGCGUGGGGAGCGAACAGG
Molecule: ribosomal RNA, 253 nt
Filed under: uncultured bacterium
Lineage: Bacteria
Description: partial 16S ribosomal RNA
Rfam family: Bacterial small subunit ribosomal RNA
Source: RNAcentral